CCGGCUGUGGGGUCGGCGCGCAUGCGCGGCCCUUGACUCGGCCUGGGCGCACCUUUUCUCCCUCCUGCCACAAUGUGAGCGCUCAGUCGCGCUGAUAACCGCCGGUUGCCUGCUCCACCCCCGGCCCUCGCCCACUCCGCCCACUCCCGAGCGCCCAGGAUGAAGAAUUAUAAAAUUGACCAGAGAUCUCCCAAUACCCAGAAUUCAACCCCAAAUAUCUCCAGUUCUACAACUUUCCCUCUAGUCGGAGUUGCCUUCUAGAGUGAGAAUAUGGGAAGUCCCACCCAGUGGACAUCUUCAUCCUGGCAGAAAGCACCACUGCAGGUCACUGACCUGAAAGAGGCUUCAAAUGAGAAGGUAGUCCAGCAGCAAAUAAUUCCCAAAGGACAGAGCCAUGGAAGUAAAGGCGUUUGACCCACACCUGGAGCUCCUGAGACCCAUUAGAGACUAUGGUUCCCCUUCUUUCCUCCCCCAUUCUCCUUCCAGGGACUUGGAGAUGUGAACAAGCCGGUGAACAGCAGAUGGUAAACCCACACAAGAAUGACUACCCCACCAUGAACCUGUCCAGUGUUUAGGAGUGAGAAAAAUGGCAAGCUCUUGAAGUUUUCAUCCCCUUCCCUGUCCAGGGUCCACUGUCUUAGCAUGCGAACCUUCAAGCCUGAACAAGGAAACUAUUCAUCCAUGGAGGCAACCAGGAGGAAGCCACUUCCUGUUCCCUCCCUGUCCUGGCAUGGCUUUCCAUCCCAGGCUGAGAGGAUGGAGAUGAUAAAGGCCCAAUUGUGACAGUCUCACAAACCCAGAGGCCAUCAAGGGGCUAAGAAGCCACUUAACAGCUUUUGAACAUUUGUAAAAAGAAUUAUUCUGCGGAAGUGAAGGCAGAGAGAGGCCCCAAGGUUGCCACCGGGAUGCACCUCUGCCACCCACGAUAGAGAGGCUGACAGCAAAGCCAGCAGGGGUUCAGCCUGCUUGCCACACCACCAUGGGCUGACCUGAGCAGGAGGGACUCAGACACCACCAACAGGCGGCUUUACAGUUCAGGGUUCCUGGACACCUGGAGAUGAAACUCAAUCUCCUGCCAAAUGCAGGAAACACAAGGGUCCUUGAAAGGGCCUGAGGGAGAGAGGAGCCUCCUGCCUCCUCCUCCCAAGGGUGUCCAAAGUAAUAAAUGGCAGGAAAAGAGGAA
Mesocricetus auratus (golden hamster) is the source of this 1183-nucleotide long non-coding RNA. RefSeq lists it as uncharacterized. The transcript has 4 exons. NCBI's taxonomy places the organism in Eukaryota, Metazoa, Chordata, Mammalia, Rodentia, Cricetidae. The record is from RefSeq and is a predicted model, not a curated record.